GGCGGUGAGGCCUGUGAUCAUGGCGCUGUUCCCCGCCUUUGCGGGUGUUAGUGAGGCGCCCGAGAGCGGGAGCCCCAGGAAAGAAUUAGACUGGCUGAGCAACCCAAGCUUUUGUGUUGGAACCGUAACAUCUCUGGGCCAACAAACUGAAGAGGCCACAGCCUUUGUUUCUGAAGAGUCGCUACUGACCAGGAGUCCUCUGAAUUCAGAGCCUUCAGAUGAAAGUGACACUAACAGAAAGCCCAAACAAACAAGCAGAAAAAAGAAGAAAGAGAAAAAGAAGAAAAGGAAGCAUCAGCACCACAAGAAAACCAAGAGAAAACGUGGGCAGUCAAGUAGCAGUGGAUCUGAGUCAUAUACUGAUUCUGAAAAGGACAGAUCUUCCAGAAGCAUCAGAGACAGUAAAAAGGAAUCAGAGAAACCAAAUCAAGAAAAUAAUGCCACUGCUGAUAUUGGACGUCACUUUGUUUGGCUUGAGGACAUUCAGGCUCUGACGGGAGAAACCUUCAGAACAGAUAAGAAGCCGGAUCCUGCAAACUGGGAGUAUAAGUCUCUUUACCGAGGAGAUGUAGCAAGAUACAAGAGGAAAGGAGACUCCUGCCUUGGCAUUAACCCUAAGAAGCAGUGUGUAUCUUGGGAGGGGACUUCCACAGAGAAGAAGCGGUCACACAAGCAUGUCGAGCGCUACUUUACAAAGAAGAGUGUGGGAUUAAUGAACAUUGACGGAGUUGCCAUUAGCAGUAAAACUGAGCCUCCCUCAUCGGAGUCGAUCUCAUUUAUCCCAGUGAAGGGUGCAGAGGAUGUGGUUUCCCCUGUUACAACCUGGUUGAACCCUCUGGGGAUUUAUGAUGAAGCCACCACGCAGUGGUUACAAGGCCGGGGUCCUUCAGAGCAAGAAUCCAAGCAGCCAGAUUCACAGCCCAACAGAGAGAGCGUGCUUCUCAAGGCCAAGGUGGAGGAGUUUAACAGGAGGGUAUGGGAGAAUCCUCGGGAUGUUCAGCUGUGGAUGGCAUUUGUUGCUUUUCAGGACGAGGUCAUGAGAAGUCCGGGCCUGUAUGCCAUUGAGGAAGGAGAGCAGGAAAAGCGGAAGCGGUCCCUGAGGCUGGUUCUGGAGAAGAAGCUGGCCAUUCUGGAACGGGCCGUGGAAAGCAACCCGAGCAGCGUGGAUCUGAAACUCGCCAAGCUGCAGCUCUGCACCGAGUUCUGGGAGCCCUCCACUCUGGUCAAAGAGUGGCAGAAACUGAUAUUUUUACAUCCCAACAAUACAGCCCUUUGGCAGAAAUACCUUUUAUUUUGCCAGAGCCAGUUUAGCACCUUUUCCAUAUCAAAAAUUCAGAGUCUUUAUGGAAAAUGCUUGAGUACUUUGUCUGCUGUUAAGGACGGCAGCAUCUUGUCCCACCCUGAGCUGCCUGGCACCGAGGAGGACAUGUUUGCCCUCUUUCUUCAGCAGUGCCACUUUCUGCGGCAGGCUGGUCACUCCGAGAAGGCCGUCUCUCUGUUCCAGGCAAUGGUUGACUUCACCUUCUUCAAACCCGACAGUGUGAAAGACCUGCCUACCAAAGGACAGGUAGAAUUCUUUGAGCCCUUUUGGGACAGUGGAGAGCCCAGGGCUGGAGAGAAGGGCGCCCGAGGCUGGAGAGCGUGGAUGCACCAGCAGGAGCGGGGCGGCUGGGUGGUCGUCAGCCCAGAUGAUGACGACGAUGAACCGGAAGACGACGACCAGGAAAUUAAAGAUAAGACUCUGCCCAGGUGGCAGAUCUGGCUUGCUGCUGAGCGGUCCCGAGACCACAGACAAUGGCGGCCGUGGCGCCCUGAGAAGACCAAGAAGCAGGCGGAGGAAGACUGUGAGGACCCAGAGAGACAGGUGUUGUUUGAUGAUAUUGGACAGUCUCUGAUCCGACUUUCCAGCCCGGAUCUUCAGUUUCGGCUGAUUGCAGCCUUUCUGCAGUUCUUGGGUGUGCCUUCCGGCUUCAGCCCUCCGGCCUCCUGCCUCUAUCUGGCCAUGGAUGAGAACAGCAUCUUUGACAAUGGACUUUAUGAUGAAAAGCCCUUGACUUUUCUCAACCUUUCAUUUUCCGGCGUCAGCUGUGUCGGACGCACAGACCAACUGAGUUGCCGGCACUGGACCAGGGGUCACAGUCGAGAGGGCGAGGAGUUCAUCCGCAGCAUCUUCCACCUCGUGAUGCCUUUGUUUUCAGGCAAGGAGAGGUCUCAGCUCUGCUUCUCCUGGUUACAGUACGAGAUUGCAAAGGUCGUUUGGUGUCUGCACACUAAAAACAAGAAGAGAUUAAAAUCACAAGGAAAGAACUGCAAAAAACUAGCCAAGAAUCUCCUUAAGGAGCCAGACAACCGCAACAAUUUUUGCCUCUGGAAGCAGUAUGCGCAUCUGGAGUGGUUGCUUGGCAACACAGAGGAUGCCAGAAAAGUUUUCGAUACAGCACUCGGCAUAGCAGGGAGCAGAGAACUGAAGGACCAUGAGCUGUGUGAGCUCGGUCUCCUCUACGCCGAGCUGGAGGUGGAGCUGUUGCCGGACGUGAGGGGGGCCGCCCCAGCCCGAGCCAUUCACGUAUUGACCAGACUGACCGAGAAUGGGGCCUACGGGCCCUACACUGGGCAAGUCUCGGCCGUUCACAUUUUGAAAGCUCGGAAGGCUUAUGAACACGCGCUGCAGGACUGUUUGGGGGAGAGCUGUGUCUCCGAUCCAGCUCCCGCCGAUUCCUUUAGCCGCCUGAUUAGCCUGGUUAAAUGCUUUAUGCUCUUCCAGUAUUUGACCAUAGGGAUCGACGCUGCUGUGCGGAUAUAUGAGCAGGUAUUUGCAAAACACCAGGUCUCUGUUUCCGCAGAGGGCCCUGGUCUGGAGGGCAGUGCCAGCCCCCAGAGCCUGAGCAGCGUCCUCGAGGCCGUCACCCUGACACACACGAGCCUGCUCAGGUUCCACAUGAAAGUCGCCGUCUACCCACUGGCUCCUCUGCGAGAGGCUCUCUCGGAGGCUUUAAAGUUGUAUCCGGGCAACCAGGUUCUUUGGAGGUCAUAUGUACAGAUUCAGAAUAAGUCCCACAGUGCCAGUAAGACCAGAAGAUUCUUCGAUGCGAUCACCAGGUCUGCCAAACCCUUGGAGCCGUGGUUGUUUGCAAUUGAAGCUGAGAAAAUGAGGAAAAGACUAGUGGAAACCGUGCAGAGGGUAGACGGUAGAGAGGUCCACGCCACCAUUCCCGAGACUGGCCUGACGCAUCGGAUCAGAGCCCUGUUUGAAAAUGCGAUGCGGAGUGACUACGGCAGCCAGUGCCCCUUACUGUGGAGGAUGUAUUUGAAUUUUUUGGUUUCCUUAGGAAAUAAAGAAAGAAGCAAAGGUGUGUUCUACAAAGCACUUCAGAAUUGUCCUUGGGCAAAGGUGCUGUACCUGGAUGCCGUGGAGUACUUCCCCGAUGAGAUGCAGGAGAUCCUGGACCUGAUGACGGAGAAGGAGCUCCGGGUGCGCCUGCCGCUGGAGGAGCUGGAGCUUCUGCUUGAGGACUAGAGACCAGGAGGGGAGUGGGGCGUGCCUCCGAGGCCUCGGCGCCUGCCCCGUGGGAGCCAGGAGACACCAGAAGAGACGCUGCUGUUGAACAACUGCCACCAGCUCUGGGGGUGUGACGGGGCAGCAGGUAUUGAAGUCUGCAGUCCUUUUGGUCAGCCAGCUUCCUUAACACCCGGAUCCACCGACUUGCUGCUGCUGAGAGGCCGGUGUGGAGGGCCCAGAAACAGGAUUCAGUGUUUGAGAAAGAGCACGCUUUAUUGGGAAGAGAGCGCUGCACGCGACCAACAUACGAAGAGGGCUGGAUGGGCAUCCUACACAUCAUGCUCAAAAGGUACUCGGGGUGCUGCGCUAGUGAAGGUCAACCGGAACAUGGACUCCUGGGCAACUUCCCCAACCUCACACCUCUGAGGGGGUCGACACACUUCCAACCUUUUCCUGGAAGGCAACUGUGGUCCACUAGAGAUAGAGCCCCUCAGGGGUGCCUUCUUGUUUUUUAUAAAGAACAUUUUCUUUAGACUUUUUGAAGUCUUCAUUUGUUACUUUCAUCCUACGUUCUCUCAAGGCCAUCAGACCAGCUUCCGUACAGAUUGCCUGUAAGGAGAAACAGUGUGUUCAGAAAGUGAAAUACUUUUUAUUCCAGCAAUUCAGAGAGUGCUGUUUUGAAAUCUGGUGUAGGCACCCAACCUAAACACGAAGUUCUCACACCAUCUGGGAAUGAUUAGAUUUUUUAAAUGUUUUAAACAUUCUAAUUAUUUUCUUAAAGGACCUGAGGUGGCUUAAACUGGGAAUAUUUCACUAAGGAAGAGGACUGGCUCAGGUUCUAACCCGCCGUGUGGCCUGGCAGGUCAGGAAGUUCUCACAACCCUGCUUUCAUUAAAGGGAGUGAUCUUCCUAAGAAAUACAUAAAAUUAUUCUAGAAAUUUAGAGCCCAAAU
Eubalaena glacialis (North Atlantic right whale) is the source of this 4451-nucleotide RNA transcript. It is a transcript of the gene named NRDE-2, necessary for RNA interference, domain containing, with no coding region annotated. The record is from RefSeq and is a predicted model, not a curated record. The transcript is spliced from 15 exons. Lineage: Eukaryota; Metazoa; Chordata; Mammalia; Artiodactyla; Balaenidae.